Molecule: long non-coding RNA, 1717 nt
Organism: Passer domesticus (house sparrow)
Lineage: Eukaryota; Metazoa; Chordata; Aves; Passeriformes; Passeridae
Exons: 2
Source: RefSeq, a predicted model, not a curated record
CAGCGCCUCUGGAGGCCCCACAGCAGGAACUUUCCUGGCAGGGGCUGCACUUUGGCUCUCCCUCGGCCUCCCUGGCCAGGCUGGCAGGGGCUGCAGUUCAGAAAAGAGGUGAAAGAACGAUUCCCCAGGUGAUCUUGAUGCUGAAUGUCUCCCUAGGAGAUCUGGGCAUGGAGAGGAACAAGCCCCUUGCAGGCUGACCCAUUUUGGACAACCUGCUCCUCACCCCAGCCUCACCAUGUCUGACAUGGCCCACCUGGGACUGACAUCCCAAAACAUAAAAAAGUAUGCAUUUUAAAAAUAAAUAAGAUUGAUUAAUUUAUAAAAUUAUAAUUAUAGUUUUUUUAAUUUAUAUUAGUAUUACUGUAUAUUUCUAUUACCUUUGAUAUUUAUGUGAAAAAUUGAAUACAUUUUUAGCAGUCAAAAAAUUAUUUGUCAUUGGUUUUAAAUAAAACAAUUCCUUUCAUUAAAUCAUUGACCACUACUGGCCAUUUAUUUCUCCUUCUUAAUGCUAAUUAGUGCUAUUUUUAGAUCUUUUGACAUAUUUUUUUAUUAUUUUCAUGGACAGGGUAAAAGGGGCCACUUUGGGGUCCCUGGAGACAUUUCUGGGGCACAUUUGGGGCAGUUUUGGGUCUGGGCAGUAUGAUAAACAAGUCCACUGAAUUUAAGGAUCAAAUAAUUAUCUUUAUUAUUUUGCAAGCAAGAAUAAGCAAGGACAGCUCUGGGCGGCCCGGAGUCUCCGCUCCACUUUGGCUCACAAAAUCCUAUCCCCUGAGUCCACCCUUUAUUGCCUUCUUCUCCGGGUUUAGGGAUGACGUGAUCUGUCUUCUGCACUUGCUCGUUCAGUUGCUCGGGGGUCUUUUUCUGCCUUCUGGUGGUCGUGGGAUGAAGGCUUAGUCCCCCUUAGUCUUCCUCUUUGUGAAUGCUGAGUGAACUUAUGCCUUAUAAGGCAUAUCUAUACAGAACACUAUACACUUUCUGCAAGCUAAGCAAUUCUUACUAGUACUAUACACUUUCUGCAAGCUCAGAAAUUCUAGCGAGUUUAAGGAUUGCUAUUACAGCUGCUUCUCAUUACUUUCUUUUCACAAGGCAUAACUUUACAAUGGAAUUCCCAAAGCACUAUAGUAAACCAGCAACCAUAUGUAUCUGCACGAGAAGUUUUUUGGCUAUUUAACUAUUGUUUUAUAUUGUAUAGUUAUUUAGCUAUUGAUUUAAUUAAUGAACAAACGUAUUACUACUUAUUACAAAUCCCCCAUUUCUUUUUUUACCAAUUUUGUUCAUUAAAUCUUUCUAGUUCUUUCUUAGCAAGCAUUAAAUGAGCUGCCUCAUCAGUUAAGCUAUGUGCACUAAUUAUAGGUACUAACUUCCUUAGUUUCUUCAUCAUAUUCCAAUUCAUAAUGAAUGGAACUGCUGACAAAAUAAAACCAAGCACAGUCAAUAUCAACAGAACAACAAUGGGAUGGCAUAUACUGUUUAGGACCCCUGCGGCAUUAGGAGACCAACCGAAAAGGGUAUCCCACUGGAUGUCACUCUGGAAAUGCCAGUGGCUCUGGAAAUGCCAGCUGAGAGCUCUGGCAGUGACUGACACUGCACUGAGAGGGGCCACAGUCCUGCAAGGGGCUUUCAUCAGGAGCAAAGAGCAGCCUGGAGGGUGGGCAAUGCUGGAUCUGUACCACUGCGUGCUCAUCCUUCACCUGAAUGUGGAGCUGCCCCCAAAGUU